GACGAACGCUGGCGGCGUGCUUAACACAUGCAAGUCGAACGGAAAGGCCCAGCUUGCUGGGUGCUCGAGUGGCGAACGGGUGAGUAACACGUGGGUGAACUGCCCCUAACUUCGGGAUAAGCUUGGGAAACUGGGUCUAAUACCGGAUAGGACAAUCGUUUAGUGUCGGUUGUGGAAAGUUUUUUCGGUUAGGGAUGAGCCCGCGGCCUAACAGCUUGUUGGUGGGGUAAUGGCCUACCAAGGCGUCGACGGGUAGCCGGCCUGAGAGGGUGGACGGCCACACUGGGACUGAGAUACGGCCCAGACUCCUACGGGAGGCAGCAGUGGGGAAUAUUGCACAAUGGGCGCAAGCCUGAUGCAGCGACGCCGCGUGGGGGAUGACGGCCUUCGGGUUGUAAACCUCUUUCGACAGGGACGAAGCUUUGGUGACGGUACCUGUAUAAGAAGCACCGGCUAACUACGUG
Molecule: ribosomal RNA, 464 nt
Filed under: uncultured bacterium
Lineage: Bacteria
Description: partial 16S ribosomal RNA
Rfam family: Bacterial small subunit ribosomal RNA
Source: RNAcentral